GAUGAACGCUGGCGGCGUGCCUAAUACAUGCAAGUCGAGCGAACAGACGAGGAGCUUGCUCCUCUGACGUUAGCGGCGGACGGGUGAGUAACACGUGGAUAACCUACCUAUAAGACUGGGAUAACUUCGGGAAACCGGAUCUAAUACCGGAUAAUAUAUUGAACCGCAUGGUUCAAUAGUGAAGGACGGUUUUGCUGUCACUUAUAGAUGGAUCCGCGCCGCAUUAGCUAGUUGGUAAGGUAACGGCUUACCAAGGCGACGAUGCGUAGCCGACCUGAGAGGGUGAUCGGCCACACUGGAACUGAGACACGGUCCAGACUCCUACGGGAGGCAGCAGUAGGGAAUCUUCCGCAAUGGGCGAAAGCCUGACGGAGCAACGCCGCGUGAGUGAUGAAGGUCUUCGGAUCGUAAAACUCUGUUAUUAGGGAAGAACAAAUGUGUAAGUAACUAUGCACGUCUUGACGGUACCUAAUCAGAAAGCAACGGCUAACUACGUG
RNAcentral lists this ribosomal RNA (497 nucleotides) under uncultured bacterium. RNAcentral describes it as "partial 16S ribosomal RNA". It matches the Rfam family "Bacterial small subunit ribosomal RNA", at positions 28 to 507 of the family's 1533-position model. The record is from RNAcentral.